Camarhynchus parvulus is the source of this 2339-nucleotide long non-coding RNA. RefSeq lists it as uncharacterized. NCBI's taxonomy places the organism in Eukaryota, Metazoa, Chordata, Aves, Passeriformes, Thraupidae. The transcript has 7 exons. The record is from RefSeq and is a predicted model, not a curated record.
UCUGCAUUCCUUGGCCUGGCACCCAGGCCCUAGAACUUUGACUCGGGAGCUCAGACAGGCAUCAGACUCUCUUCUCUCUUUGGAAGCAUCCGGUCAGAUGUCUUUUCAGGUCUUGUUCUGAGCUCCAUAUGGACAGCUAUGCCCCGCCAGGAUCCAUUGUGGCGGGCUAGGACUUGAAAGAAUGUGAGGACAGGUAGAGGCUUCUGACUGUAGGAUUCUCGGGCGUCCAUCUUUGCAUUCAUCUUGGAAUAAAUGAUUCAGUUAGCAUCUUCUUCCUCCAGGGUUCUCUGAGCCUCAUCAGCUCACCAUCGGUCUCAGCUCAGUCAUGUCAUUUUGCAUUCUCUCAGUCCCUGCAGCCAUUUUCCUUGCCAAGUGUUUUUCUCUCCGUGUCUCGUGUCCUUUGUUUGUCACGUCCUGUCCGUCCUGGGUCACGGGUGUUUGCACACAUAUCUGUGCCGGAGCUGCUCUGCCCUGCCGCAUAGCCUGGUGCAAUAGGAGAAGUCCCGGGGACUUGAAGUUUGUAAUGUGGGGUGUAAUUGGACUCUAGAUGGGAUUUGUAGAUGGACACAGGAUAUCUGGAGCUCUUAAGUUAUCCUGCAACGCUUUGACUCUUGUCCUAACUUUCUUUCAGAUGCAGAUGGAUUAAAUCUGUGCCAGAGGGCCCCAUCCCAGGUGAGGGGUUUCCCCCGAGCAGGAAGUAAAUCUGGAUACCAGCAGUCAAGGCAAUCCACUCGGAGUAUGCCAAGCCCCCGUCACCAACCGGCCGACGCGCCGAGUUUCCUGCUCUCGUGAGCCCCGUGGAUGUAUUACAGGACCUGAUGAUGAAGCCCUGAACUUUUCUAUUUAAAGGUGCCAUCCAGGUGGCCUUUGGCAACUGCCAAGGAGUCGGGGCACCCCCUGUGACGAAGGCCUCGGUCUCGAAGCGUGUGAGCCCAGGCAGCUGGGCAUUCCUAGGAGCAUGCUGUCUAAGAGACCAGAGCCCGGUGACAGCAGGACCUUCCCGGCUGACGAGGUGGCCUUUCUUUCGCACCUGAGACCGGCAUCCCCAGAUGUCUGAGAGAUAAGUAGAGGGCUACGGCCCACAGAGGGGAUUAAAGCAGGGUGCUGGUUUGGGAAUUACCGGGAGGGGUUUUUGAGUCCGUUUGGAGGUGGGGGGUGUUCAUGAGGUGGCCCCUUAGGCCCCAUAAAAGCGAAGUCUCACUUGUGAUCACAGCGCUGAUGUGCGCAGGGCAGAGCAGUCCCGGUGUGUCUGGUGUCACUUGUCUAUUGUGCCUUAUGUGUUGUUUGUGUAUCUCAUGUCUUUUACCUCAGCCCCCUGAGGGGCCUGUCAGGAACCUCGGCAUCAUUCUUAGCAUCUGCGAUCUCUGCAUUCCUUGGCCUGGCACCCAGGCCCUAGAACUUUUGACUCGGGAGCUCAGACAGGCAUCAGACUCUCUUCUCUCUUUGGAAGCAUCCGGUCAGAUGUCUUUUCAGGUCUUGUUCUGAGCUGUACGGACAGCUAUGCCCCGCCAGCAUCCAUUGUGGCGGGCUAGGACUUGAAAGAAUGUGAGGACAGGUAGAGGCUUCUGACUGUAGGAUUCUCGGGCGUCCAUCUUUGCAUCCAUCUUGGAAUAAAUGAUUCAGUUAGCAUCUUCUUCCUCCAGGGUUCUCUGAGCCUCAUCAGCUCACCAUCGGUCUCAGCUCAGUCAUCUCAUUUUGCAUUCUCUCAGUCCCUGCAGCCAUUUUCCUUGCCAAGUGUUUUUCUCUCCGUGUCUCGUGUCCUUUGUUUUGUCACGUCCUGUCUGUCCUGGGUCACGGGUGUUUGCACAUAUCUGUGCCGGAGCUGCUCUGCCCUGCCGCACAGCCUGGUGCAAUAGGAGAAGUCCCGGGGACUUGAAGUUUGUAAUGUGGGGUGUAGUUGGACUCUAGAUGGGGUUUGUAGAUGGACACAGGAUAUCUGGAGCUCUUAAGUUAUCCUGCAACGGUUUGACUCUUGUCCUAACUUUCUUUCAGAUGCAGAUGGAUUAAAUCUGUGCCAGAGGGCCCCAUCCCGGAUGAGGGGUUUCCCCCGAGCAGGAAGUAAAUCUGGAUACCAGCAGUCAAGGCAAUCCACUCGGAGUAUGCCAAGCCGCCGUCACCAACCGGCCGACGCGCCGAGUUUCCUGCUCUCGUGAGCCCCGUGGAUGUAUUACAGGACCUGGUGGUGAAGCCCUGAACUUUUCUAUUUAAAGGUGCCAUCCAGGUGGCCUUUGGCAACUGCCAAGGAGUCGGGGUGAGUCGGGGAAGUAGGGAGGAGGAGCGAGGGUCCACUCAGGUUUCAGCCAUGAGAAAUCACCUCAUCUCCUCUUUACCCAGGCACC